This 460-nucleotide ribosomal RNA is filed under the name uncultured bacterium. RNAcentral's name for it is "partial 16S ribosomal RNA". It matches the Rfam family "Bacterial small subunit ribosomal RNA", at positions 338 to 795 of the family's 1533-position model. The record is from RNAcentral.
CCUACGGGUGGCAGCAGUGAGGAAUAUUGGUCAAUGGGCUUACGCCUGAACCAGCCAAGUCGCGUGAGGGAAGACUGCCCUAUGGGUUGUAAACCUCUUUUGUCAGGGAGCAACGCCGGCUACGUGUAGCCGGACUGAGAGUACCUGAAGAAAAAGCAUCGGCUAACUCCGUGCCAGCAGCCGCGGUAAUACGGAGGAUGCGAGCGUUAUCCGGUUUUAUUGGGUUUAAAGGGUGCGUAGGCGGAAUGCCAAGUCAGCGGUAAAAUUGAGAGGCUCAACCUCUUCGAGCCGUUGAAACUGGUUUUAUUGAGUGAGCGAGAAGUAUGCGGAAUGCGUGGUGUAGCGGUGAAAUGCAUAGAUAUCACGCAGAACUCCGAUUGCGAAGGCAGCAUACCGGCGCUCAACUGACGCUCAUGCACGAAAGUGUGGGUAUCGAACAGGAUUAGAUACCCUAGUAGUC